CAUUGAGCCUUGAUGUGUAGGAUAGGUGGGAGGCAAUGAAGUGUGGACGCCAGUCUGCACGGAGCCAUCCUUGAAAUACCACCCUUUAACGUUUGAUGUUCUAACCCGGGUCCAUAAUCUGGAUCGGGGACCGUGUCUGGUGGGUAGUUUGACUGGGGCGGUCUCCUCCCAAAGAGUAACGGAGGAGCACGAAGGUUGGCUAAGCAUGGUCGGACAUCAUGCGGUUAGUGCAAAGGCAUAAGCCAGCUUGACUGCGAGAGUGACGGCUCGAGCAGGUACGAAAGUAGGUCUUAGUGAUCCGGUGGUUCUGAAUGGAAGGGCCAUCGCUCAACGGAUAAAAGGUACUCCGGGGAUAACAGGCUGAUACCGCCCAAGAGUUCAUAUCGACGGCGGUGUUUGGCACCUCGAUGUCGGCUCAUCACAUCCUGGGGCUGAAGUAGGUCCCAAGGGUAUGGCUGUUCGCCAUUUAAAGUGGUACGCGAGCUGGGUUUAGAACGUCGUGAGACAGUUCGGUCCCUAUCUGCCGUGGGCGCUGGAAGAUUGAGAGGGGUUGCUCCUAGUACGAGAGGACCGGAGUGAACGCACCACUGGUGUACGGGUUGUGAUGCCAAUUGCAUUGCCCGGUAGCUAAGUGCGGAAGAGAUAACCGCUGAAAGCAUCUAAGCGGGAAACUUGCCUCGAGAUGAGUCUUCCCUGACCCUUUAAGGGUCCUGAAGGAACGUUUGAGACUAAGACGUUGAUAGGCUGGGUGUGUAAGCGCAGCGAUGCGUUGAG
Molecule: ribosomal RNA, 774 nt
Filed under: Morganella morganii
Lineage: Bacteria; Pseudomonadati; Pseudomonadota; Gammaproteobacteria; Enterobacterales; Morganellaceae
Description: partial 23S ribosomal RNA
Rfam family: Bacterial large subunit ribosomal RNA
Source: RNAcentral